Molecule: ribosomal RNA, 376 nt
Filed under: uncultured myxomycete
Lineage: Eukaryota; Evosea; Eumycetozoa
Description: SSU rRNA
Rfam family: Eukaryotic small subunit ribosomal RNA
Source: RNAcentral
UCUCUCUGAAUCUGCGAACGGCUCCGCAAACCAGUUGUAAACUAUAGCAAGCAUCCCCUAGUGCAGGCCGCAAGGCUGGCGCUGGGGUUAUAAGGAUAACCCUGGUAAUUCUGAGGCUAAUACAAGAACGUAACCCCUGGUCGACGGGCAACUGGAGGCUGGGGAACGUGCGAUUCAUCGCAAAAAUCCACUGGGAAUAGGCGCACGUUCGGACCACCAUACCAAACGGUUUCACUGAUCCUCGGAGAGGUGUUUCUGGGUGGCUCUUGCUGUGUGCUUCUGACCUAUCAACUAGAUGGCAGCGUAACGGACAUGCUAUGGUUACAACGGGUACAGAGGAUAAGGGUUCGAUCCUGGAGAGUGGGCCUGAGAGAUU